This 511-nucleotide long non-coding RNA is filed under the name Homo sapiens (human). Its description in RNAcentral is "HSALNT0344607". Lineage: Eukaryota; Metazoa; Chordata; Mammalia; Primates; Hominidae. The record is from RNAcentral.
AUUGUCGGUCAUCCCCGCAGGAGAGGCUGGGCCAGGUUGUGGUGCGUCCAACCCCCAGCCCUCUGGGCAGACCGGUUGUGAUCUAAGUCAUUUCAAGGGUUUCUCAAUGGACCGAUUGCCAGAGGUUGGGGUGUCAAGAAUUUGGGGUAUCAAGGUUAAGUACAAAACAUGGAUCUUUGUCUGACAAGACAGGCUGGCCGCUGACUGUUAAAUACUUCCCCACAAAAGGGACAAGCCCGGAGCCAGGUUACCGGCCCACACCGCAAGACAGGCUUUCUUUUAGGAAAUGGACAAAGCUCUAUGACCAGAACAAGCACUUUGGGGAAUUUAAAUUUGCUUUCCCUGACACGACUCCACUUUCAUCACUACCCCUGAACUUAAGGGGCAUCCAAACCUCAGUCUCAGCAGGUGCAGCUGUGUCACUGGGAUGGACACAGGAAGCAAUGUGGGGUCUUUGCUGCCAGUGAGCUCCCGGUCUAGGAGAAGAGAGAGGAAGCAUCUUUAUCUGUGU